GUUCCUUUCACUCAGGAAGAUGACCUCAUCAUCCACCAUGGCUUGGAUUCUUUUGCUCUUCUCCAUCCUGUCUUCCUUUGGUCUCAGUAUCCAGCAGCUGCAGAGCCUGAAGAAUGAAGAAUCUGUAGCUCUAGGUGGGACAGUCACCAUAUCUUGUAGCUAUAGCGGUGGGACCAUCAGUAACAACAAUUACCUUCGAUGGAUCCAGCAGAAACCAGGGCAGGUUCUAAAGCUCUUAAUUGCUACCAGCAACAGCAGGCCUUCAGGCGUCCCAGCCCGCUUCUCUGGUUCCACCUCAGGGAACAUCAUGUCCUUGACCAUCACGGGAGCUUUGGGUGAAGACGAUGCUACUUAUUACUGUGCAGUUUGGACUGGGAGCGGGUACACAGUCAUUGAUUCAGAUAGAGAAGUGAGACAAAAACCCUUCUCUUAG
This is a non-coding RNA of Python bivittatus (Burmese python), 433 nucleotides long. The record is from the annotation of a RefSeq genome assembly. NCBI's taxonomy places the organism in Eukaryota, Metazoa, Chordata, Lepidosauria, Squamata, Pythonidae.